This 423-nucleotide ribosomal RNA is filed under the name uncultured archaeon. Its description in RNAcentral is "partial 16S ribosomal RNA". It matches the Rfam family "Archaeal small subunit ribosomal RNA", at positions 323 to 746 of the family's 1478-position model. The record is from RNAcentral.
CUACGGGGUGCACCAGUCGGGAGUUUUCUGCAAUGCACGAAAGUGUGACAGAGCGAGCCAGAGUGUUUUUCCGUAUUGGAAAAGCUUUUGUGAGAUGUAAAAAGUCUUACGAAUAAGGACUGGGCAAGACUGGUGCCAGCCGCCGCGGUAAUACCAGCGGUCCAAGUCGCAACCACAUUUAUUGGGUCUAAAACAUCCGUAGCUUGUUGUUUAAGUCUCUUGUGAAAUCUCAUCUCUUAAAGAUGGAAGUGCGAGAGAUACUGAACAGCUAGAGACUGGGAGACGUAAGAAGAACGGUUAGGGUAACGGUUAAAUGUGUUGAUCCUUUCUGGACUAACGAUAGCGAAGGCAUCUUACGAGAACAGAUCUGACAGUAAGGGAUGAAGGCUAGGGUCGCAAAACGGAUUAGAUACCCUGGUAGUC